This 1159-nucleotide long non-coding RNA is filed under the name Pogona vitticeps (central bearded dragon). RNAcentral's name for it is "lncRNA (ENSPVIG00000009946.1)". The record is from RNAcentral. Lineage: Eukaryota; Metazoa; Chordata; Lepidosauria; Squamata; Agamidae.
AUGUGGUUGCAUCACGUGAAAGGGGAGUCGGGCCCAGCGGCGGCGGCGGCAGCAACAGCACGCCCGAGCGAGACAGAGACCCAGACAGAUUCUGGACGCUGGGCUCGUCGGGAGGAGCGACGGCGGACCGACCGGGCUGGCGGGGCGGAAGCCGCACAGGACGAGGCCACCGCUCCGGAGCUCCCUGGAGAGGGCAGGAGGAAGAUGUCUUCCGUCGCUCCCAUUGCCCGGGGUGUUUGUUUGUUUGUUUGUUUUAAAGACGAUGUCGGGGAGGAGGGAGAGGAGAGGAGAGGACGGUCUCCUUGGAGUCAGCAGAGGCGAGUUGCCCAGAGGUGUGGUGGGAAGUGGAUGGGGUCGGAGGGAGGUCGAGCGGAGGUGGAAAGCAUAUGUGUGUGUGUGUGUGUGUGUGAGAGCGAGAGCGAGCUAGGGGGCUUUUGCUUUGUGUUCUUUUGCCCGGAGGGACCUCCCCUGACUCCCCUACCCAUCCACCCACCCACCCCUGUGAGCAUGUUGUUGUCUACAGUCUGCCUGCCUGUCUGUCAGCCAGGAAGAUGUAGAGGCGAAGCGGCGGUGACUGGAAUGAAGCUUUGUGUCGGGGAGGCGAAAGGGGUUUGCAGCAAAACUGCCCGCCUUUCCUCUUCUCCUCACCAUCUAAGGAAUUUUCUUAGAGACUGGAGCAUUACUAAGAUGCAACCUGGUGGUUGGUACCCAUCAAAUUCAUAAAUGGAUGGAGGGGGGGGAACGGUUUGUAUUUCUCCUGAAAACGAUGCACCUGCUUUACCUGACCUGCCAGUUUGGGGUUAUGUUUCGACCUAGGCAUGCUGUGUCUUCACUUUUACAAACAAGGACAAACCUCUGUGAUUAAGGCAUAGGGGUCUGUAAAGCUGGAACUUCAGAAUGUGGAAGAAAGAACAAAUAACGGUCUUUUGGAGUGAGUACAUUUUGUUGCUAGUAUAGCUAACUACUGAGAAUGUGAAUCAUUCUCAACUCUAACCUUUUAUCUGAUUUGAGGUAGAAAGGAAGUCUAUCUGGGUUUAGUGGCUUACUUGGGAGGGUAAUUUUUACUAUGGUUAACUGCCCAGAGUAGUGUAUGUAACUAAAUUGGGCAGUAUACAAAUUACUAAGGAAAUAAAUAAACAAACAGUCAGUCUGACUAGCA